Molecule: long non-coding RNA, 235 nt
Organism: Cyprinus carpio (common carp)
Lineage: Eukaryota; Metazoa; Chordata; Actinopteri; Cypriniformes; Cyprinidae
Exons: 3
Source: RefSeq, a predicted model, not a curated record
CUAGAGUCCUAUAAAAGAGCAUCUUCUGCCUGAUCCGAGAGAAAACAGCUGCUGUUGUUAUUGGUGAACCUCUGGAAUUUUCAAGACUAGACAAGAAUAAUGAGUGCAUCCAAACUCCAGGAAAGUGAGAUGAGAAUCGCACACUCUCUACAUAUGAAGGAGGAAGAGUCUGUUGUCAAAAGGAGAAAAAAAGUUUUUCAAAGCCUGAAGAAACUCCAAAUAGACUGCAGUAAGG